GCAUAUCAAUAAGCGGAGGAAAAGAAACCAACAGGGAUUGCCCUAGUAACGGCGAGUGAAGCGGCAACAGCUCAAAUUUGAAAUCUGGCGCAAGCCCGAGUUGUAAUUUGCAGAGGAUGUUUCUGGCGACGCGCCUUCCGAGUUCCCUGGAACGGGACGCCAUAGAGGGUGAGAGCCCCGUACGGUUGGAUGCCUAGCCUCUGUGAAACUCCUUCGACGAGUCGAGUAGUUUGGGAAUGCUGCUCUAAAUGGGAGGUAUACGUCUUCUAAAGCUAAAUACCGGCCAGAGACCGAUAGCGCACAAGUAGAGUGAUCGAAAGAUGAAAAGCACUUUGAAAAGAGGGUUAAAAAGUACGUGAAAUUGUUGAAAGGGAAGCGUUCAUGACCAGACUUGGGCAGGUUGAUCAUCCGUGGUUCUCCGCGGUGCACUCUGCCUGCCCAGGCCAGCAUCAGUUCGUCCCGGGGGAUAAAGGCUCUGGGAAUGUGGCUCCUUCGGGAGUGUUAUAGCCCACUGCGUAAUACCCUGGGGUGGACUGAGGUUCGCGCUCUGCAAGGAUGCUGGCGUAA
Molecule: ribosomal RNA, 567 nt
Filed under: Clonostachys sp.
Lineage: Eukaryota; Fungi; Ascomycota; Sordariomycetes; Hypocreales; Bionectriaceae
Description: eukaryotic LSU rRNA
Rfam family: Eukaryotic large subunit ribosomal RNA
Source: RNAcentral